GGCACAAUGGUUUGGAAUGCUGUGGCGGAUAUUUUGGAAUUGUUCUGAAUGAGACAGUUCAUAACUGCACACCUUGCAAGAAUGGUUUUUAUGGCCAAAACUGUAUGCUGAAAUGCCCGCAUCCAUCAUUCGGCGUGAGAUGCCAGGAAACAUGUCAUUGUACUCGUGAAAGUUGUCAUCAUGUUUAUGGCUGCAAAAGAGCAUCAGCUGAGUGUAGGUUGGGAACGUUUGGUGAUUACUGCGAGUUUGUUUGCCAAUACCCUAACUAUGGAAAAGAAUGCCAACUUCGAUGCAACUGUGAUGAAGAACAUUGUAAUCCGUCUAGAGGAUGUAAAGG
Molecule: long non-coding RNA, 337 nt
Organism: Saccostrea cuccullata (small rock oyster)
Lineage: Eukaryota; Metazoa; Mollusca; Bivalvia; Ostreida; Ostreidae
Exons: 3
Source: RefSeq, a predicted model, not a curated record